Molecule: ribosomal RNA, 644 nt
Filed under: Bacillus cereus
Lineage: Bacteria; Bacillati; Bacillota; Bacilli; Caryophanales; Bacillaceae
Description: bacterial SSU rRNA
Rfam family: Bacterial small subunit ribosomal RNA
Source: RNAcentral
UGCAGUCGAGCGGAUGGAUUAAGAGCUUGCUCUUAUGAAGUUAGCGGCGGACGGGUGAGUAACACGUGGGUAACCUGCCCAUAAGACUGGGAUAACUCCGGGAAACCGGGGCUAAUACCGGAUAACAUUUUGAACCGCAUGGUUCGAAAUUGAAAGGCGGCUUCGGCUGUCACUUAUGGAUGGACCCGCGUCGCAUUAGCUAGUUGGUGAGGUAACGGCUCACCAAGGCAACGAUGCGUAGCCGACCUGAGAGGGUGAUCGGCCACACUGGGACUGAGACACGGCCCAGACUCCUACGGGAGGCAGCAGUAGGGAAUCUUCCGCAAUGGACGAAAGUCUGACGGAGCAACGCCGCGUGAGUGAUGAAGGCUUUCGGGUCGUAAAACUCUGUUGUUAGGGAAGAACAAGUGCUAGUUGAAUAAGCUGGCACCUUGACGGUACCUAACCAGAAAGCCACGGCUAACUACGUGCCAGCAGCCGCGGUAAUACGUAGGUGGCAAGCGUUAUCCGGAAUUAUUGGGCGUAAAGCGCGCGCAGGUGGUUUCUUAAGUCUGAUGUGAAAGCCCACGGCUCAACCGUGGAGGGUCAUUGGAAACUGGGAGACUUGAGUGCAGAAGAGGAAAGUGGAAUUCCAUGUGUAGCGU